UCUCUCUCUCUCUCUCUCUCUCACACGCACACACCUGCAGGUACGUACUGUGAACUUGAUCUAGACGGAGACUGUCAAGACUGAGUACGUGGCUGAACGGAAGUGAGCGAAUGGAUUCCGGCGAUCUGUCACUCGCUGCUCAAGUAAGUAACCGUUGCUUCUUCUAUAUGUAGGAUUAUAACGUCGAUUGAUGAAGAAAACGGUGGCGUUUGGGUGUUUGGUCUGUGGUCUAGAGUCUUGACUGAUACAGUAGAAAGAGAGGGAGGGGGUGUUGGAAAACAGAAAACGCGUGAUUUUAGUAUUGUCGGGAAGGAGCUUCACAAGAAUUCCACAGUUCGCCGCUUGCUUCUUUGUCUGCUAUGCCUAAUCUAUCUUAUAUAUAAUAAAG
This 388-nucleotide long non-coding RNA is filed under the name Manihot esculenta (cassava). RNAcentral's name for it is "long non-coding RNA (MESC_LNC008459)". Lineage: Eukaryota; Viridiplantae; Streptophyta; Magnoliopsida; Malpighiales; Euphorbiaceae. The record is from RNAcentral.